This 463-nucleotide ribosomal RNA is filed under the name uncultured archaeon. RNAcentral's name for it is "bacterial SSU rRNA". It matches the Rfam family "Archaeal small subunit ribosomal RNA", at positions 879 to 1339 of the family's 1478-position model. The record is from RNAcentral.
CCACAAGGGGUGAAGCCUGCGGUUCAAUUGGAGUCAACGCCAGGAAACUUACCAGGAGCGACAGCAGGAUGAGGGUCAGGCUGAAGACUUUACCUGACGAGCUGAGAGGAGGUGCAUGGCCGUCGCCAGCUCGUGCCGUGAGGCGUCCUGUUAAGUCAGGCAACGAGCGAGACCCUUGCCGAUAAUUGCUAGCCGCGAUCGCAAUAUCGCGGAGGCUAGUUAUCGGGACUGCCGCUGCUAAAGCGGAGGAAGGAGAGGGCCACGGCAGGUCAGUAUGCCCCGAAACUCCUGGGCCACACGCGGGCUGCAAUGGUAGGGACAAUGGGUCCCGACCUCGAAAGAGGAAGGCAAUCCUCAAACCCUACCCCAGUUGUGAUUGAGGGCUGAAACCCGCCCUCAUGAAUAUGGAAUCCCUAGUAACCGCGUGUCAUCACCGCGCGGUGAAUACGUCCCUGCUCCUUGU